GCAGCCUGAGAUCCGUAAUAUGGCGGGGAGGAGGAGGAGAAGGCGGCGGCGGACCGAGCUGCGCUCUGUCAGUACCAUUUGAGCCAUUCCCUUCCUGACAAGGCCCGUGGCGAGGGGAGAGGAGCUGAAGGGGCCGUGGGGGAUCAGUUUCAUUUGAAUCCUACGGGGAACCAAGCACUGUCGCUGCCCUCCAGGAAUUCAUACUCUACUGCUAAAAAUCGUCAUCAUCAUUAUCCUCUUAAUAAGAAAAGCAGUCCCCAUUAUUUGUUGCUUUCUGCGUGUUCUGCACUAUGCUAAUUGCCCUACAUGCAUUAGUUCAUUGAAUUCUUACAAGAUUCCUUUGAGACGGAUACCGUGAUUAUCCCUCAGAGGAGGAAACAGGUGUGGGGAUGGUAACUGGCUUGCCAAGAACUUGCAGCUAGUAUGCAUCUGAAUAAGAAAUCUUCCCCUUUACCGCUUUUACAAGAAGUUUGCGUCUUUGGCGGAACUGAUGGGCAAAGAAACACUAGGUUGUGCAAAAAAAGCAGGAUCUGUUCUGUGUUACUUUUACUACUCCUUUCAGUGACAUGUCUGGCAGAGCACGGUGCCUGCUGUGUGCUGAUACUGUUCUGUGUAAUGGGGAUUCAGUGAACAAGACUGAAAAGGUACCUGUACUUAUGGCGCUU
RNAcentral lists this small RNA (665 nucleotides) under Pongo abelii (Sumatran orangutan). Its description in RNAcentral is "processed transcript". Lineage: Eukaryota; Metazoa; Chordata; Mammalia; Primates; Hominidae. The record is from RNAcentral.